This 528-nucleotide ribosomal RNA is filed under the name Lanistes sp. UGSB 5647. RNAcentral's name for it is "partial large subunit ribosomal RNA". It matches the Rfam family "Bacterial large subunit ribosomal RNA", at positions 1817 to 2597 of the family's 2925-position model. Lineage: Eukaryota; Metazoa; Mollusca; Gastropoda; Architaenioglossa; Ampullariidae. The record is from RNAcentral.
GGCUCCUUGAAAAAAAUUUUAUAGGGAGUCUUACCUGCCCAGUGAAAUAAUCUUUAACGGCCGCGGUACUCUGACCGUGCAAAGGUAGCAUAAUCAUUUGCCUUAUAAUUGAAGGCUAGUAUGAAAGGUUUGAUGAGGGCUGAGCUGGCUCCUGUUAAUUAAAAUGAAAUUGUCUUUCAGGUGCAAAGACCUAAAUUGAAUUAAAAGACAAGAAGACCCUAUUGAGCUUUAAAAAUUUUAUGGUAUAUAAUGCUACGGUUUAGCUGGAUGCUAGCUCAUUAAUUUUUUUAGUUGGGGCGACUCUGGAACAAUUAAAGCUUCCAGAAAUAUAUUAAAUGGUUAACUUUAUAUUUAUCCAAAUAUGAUCCAAAAUAUUUUGAUUAAUGGAAUAAGUUACCAUAGGGAUAACAGCAUAAUCUUUUUUGAGAGCUCUAAUCGAAAAAAAGGUUUGUGACCUCGAUGUUGGACUAGAAUAUCCUACGGGCGCAGAAGCUCUUAAAGGUUGGUCUGUUCGACCAUUAAAAUUCU